UUGUUUUUCAAAACAUGGUUUUUUGUUUAUAUAAAAGAUCUGGCCUGCCCAAUGAUUUUUAAAUGGCUGCAGUAUUUUGACUGUACAAAGGUAGCAUAAUCAUUAGUCUUUUGAUUGAAGGCUGGUAUGAAUGGUUGGAUGAAAAGUAUACUUUCUUUAUUUUAUAAAAAUAAUUUAAUUUCUUAGUCAAAAAGCUAAGAUGAUUUUAUAGGACGAGAAGACCCUAUAGAACUUUACUUAUUUUUUAAGUAUAUAUUUUUAGUUUAUUAUAAAUUUAUAUUUAUAUAUAAGUUUCAUUGGGGUGAUGGAAAAAAUAUUAUAACUUUUUUUGGUUUUUACAUUUAUGUAUGUUUUUUGAUCCUUUAUUAUGGAAAAAAGAUUAAGUUACCUUAGGGAUAACAGCGUUAUUUUUUUGGAGAGUUCAUAUCGAUAAAAAAGUUUGCGACCUCGAUGUUGGAUUAAAAUAAGUGACAGGGGUAGAAUAUUGUCUGUUAGGUCUGUUCGACCUUUAAAUUUUUACAUGACGGUUUUCCCCC
Molecule: ribosomal RNA, 536 nt
Filed under: Calocoris alpestris
Lineage: Eukaryota; Metazoa; Arthropoda; Insecta; Hemiptera; Miridae
Description: partial small subunit ribosomal RNA
Rfam family: Archaeal large subunit ribosomal RNA
Source: RNAcentral